UACGGAGGGUGCAAACGUUGCUCGGAAUCAUUGGGCGUAAAGCGCACGUAGGCGGCCUGUUAAGUCGGGUGUGAAAGCCCUGGGCUCAACCCAGGAAGUGCACUCGAAACUGGCGGGCUUGAAUAUGGAAGAGGGUCGCGGAAUUCCCGGUGUAGUGGUGAAAUGCGUAGAUAUCAAGUGGAACACCAGUGGCGAAGGCGAGUCUCUGGACAUUUCCUGACGCUGAGGCACGAAAGCCAGGGGAGCAAACGGG
This 253-nucleotide ribosomal RNA is filed under the name uncultured bacterium. Its description in RNAcentral is "partial 16S ribosomal RNA". It matches the Rfam family "Bacterial small subunit ribosomal RNA", at positions 524 to 776 of the family's 1533-position model. The record is from RNAcentral.